This 613-nucleotide long non-coding RNA is filed under the name Nicotiana benthamiana. RNAcentral's name for it is "long non-coding RNA (NBEN_LNC041682)". The record is from RNAcentral. Lineage: Eukaryota; Viridiplantae; Streptophyta; Magnoliopsida; Solanales; Solanaceae.
UAAGGAUUUCCAAACUUCUGAAUUUCACAAACAACGCCGAAACCUAUCAAACCUUGCCCAAAUGACCUAAAACUUUACACACAUGUCAAAAAUGACAUAAUGGACAUGCUCCAGUUUUCGAGAUUUCAUUCCAACCCCGAUAUCAAGAUUUUCAUCGCCGACCGAAAAAUGUCAAAUUUGUAACUUUGCCAAUUCAAGCCUAAAUCCACCACGGACCUCCAAAUUACAUUCUGAACACGCUCCAAAGUCCAAAAUCACCUAACCAAGCUAUCUUAACCGUCAGAAUUCAAAUUCAAGAUCUUCUAUAUAUAAGUCAAUAACCCAUUGACUUUUCCAACUUAAGCUUCUAAAUAAGAUACUAAGUGUCUCAUUCCACUCCAAGACUACUCUGAACAUAAAACAACCAACACGAUAUGAUGAAAUACAAUUGAACAACACAUAAAGAAGCAUAAAUAGGGGAAGCGGGGCUAUAACUUAUGAAACGGCCAGAUGGGUCGUUACAUCCUCCCCCUUUUAAACAAAUAUUUGUCCUCGAACGAGUCAAGCAAUAUACCUGAAGCCUUAAAUAGGUGCGGAUAUCUGCUCUGCAUCUCUCGCUCAGUCUCCAAAGUAG